UUAUUUGUUGGGCCCGUUUAGGACCGUAUAGGACCGCUUGAACCGGCCCACUUCUGAGCCGGUCCCGGUCUCGCGGGCCUCCCCUAUGAGACCGGCCCACCACCCCACGGUCCCGGUCCUAUCCGGUUAGGACCGUUUAGGCCCACCGCCCAUGUGGGCUUGCGGUCCUGGGCCGGUCCCGGUCCUAACCGGCCCACAUGCCACCCCUAUUUGAAAGUGUCAUUUGCAAUGCAGCUAGCAUUAAGCCUUUGUUUGAUGUAUCCAUUAUUGAUUUUAGCUCUUGUUUUUUCCUGCUAAAUAUGUAUUUUCAGAUCCUUUUCCCACGACAGUUGAGUUUUCAACUUGUCUUCUUUAAUCCCACAAGUAGAUAGUUGAUUAACUUUCUUCUUUUCUCUAGUUUGUGGAUUUUAAGGUUGCAUGCCUUUAAAUAUUAAGCUGCAAUUACCGUUGUCUUUGAUUUAUUGCUUUGUCAAGUGACGUUUUUCUCCUCCACUGAUUUUCUUAAUAUGUGUUUCUCUAGGAAGGAGAAAGAACUUACAGACUUAUGUCCAUUGAUUUUCUGGGUAUAGGUUGGUGUUAUUUAGCUUCGUUUUGAGGGAUAAAUUUGAUUCUUUCUAUCCACCCUAGAAGAUCUGCUUGUCCUUUAUUUUGUCUUCUGUUAUGUGUUGAUUUAUUUGACUUUUACCAGCCUCUCAAAUUAGGGUUCUUAAAUUAAACAAACACUCAAGUGUUUUGUGUUAGCUUGUUUACUAACAGCAUACUUUUUGUCAUUCUUUUUCGUAGUUUGUUAGUGUGGGUGGUAAAAGUUAUCAUGGUAUGUAAAUAAUGGACAAAGGGAUGAGAUAAGAAAUCCUCUAAAGCUCUUAAUUUACUUGGAACAACUGAAGUAGUUGGAUUUGGAUGGUUAUAGAUGAUCUACCUGGUCUGCAUCAUAUCCUUCCAUCAGCCCACUCAAAGGGAAAACGCAAAGGAAGGAUAGGAUAUCAUGUUGGGAAACGGUUGUUUAUGUGAAGUAAGGUGCUGAUGUGAAAAAUAUGCGAACUUCCAAUGAUUUUACUUCAUUUACUGGAGGUGGUUGCUUGUUCUUUUGCAAAAUAUAGUGAAUUAUUAUCUGUUAUAUUUGUUUUUAUGGUCAAAUAAAUAACGUAAAAUUAUUUGAAUCAAUCCAACAGUACCGCUGUUUGUCAAGUUCUUAGCAUAAAUUGGUAACUUCUUACUUAUGUGAACAUAGUACAACAAUAACAACCACCCAGUGUAUUCCCACAAGUGGGGUUUGGGAAGGUAGGAUGUACGCAGCCUUACCCCUACCCUUCCUUGGAAGGGCAGAGAGGUUGUUUCCGAUAAACCCUCAACUGAAGACUUAUGUGAACAUAGUAAGAUUGCUAAAUCAUUUCUCGGAAGUUACUGAGGUUAACUCAGUUUAUGGAUGAUUGCAAUUUUCACAGGUAUUGAAGAAAUGACUACUUUGGUAUGCCCUUAUGGUCUGAAUUUCAUGUCCAACGGAAAUUGGUAAAGGCCUUGAUAACUCAUUUUGCAGUGACUGCGAAAUUUGUGCUCUAUGAUGUGCUUGAGUAAUUCAAUUAUUUUCAAGAGUAUGUUACCAUAGACAAGUAAAAGAUUUUAAGGCGGUGAAAUAGAAUCUUGUGUUUUUUUUCUUUCUAUUUGCUGUCUUUUGAAUACUAGUCUUGAGGCGAAGAGUUAAUAACAAUUACGAACUAGAAGGUAGAGAUUGAUGACAAAAUUCCCAAUUUACCUUCUGUGGCUUGUAUCUCCUUUGCUUAUAGUGAAUAGUGAACCUGUGUUGGUUAUAUAAUAUUAUCUACUUAAUAUAAUCACCAGAAAGAUGAAGUGUGGGCUGAUCAUGUACACUAUAUUGCUCCACAAUAAUGAUAAUUUUGCUUAUGUCUUAUCAAGGAAGAUUGAAAUAUAAAAUCUAGUUCAAGAGUAUGGCAUAUUAGUUGGAAGCGAAAUCAUCUUCUGUCCUAAUAUAAUGUACAUUCAACAUUUUCAUGUGACUGCCUGAGAUUCUAUAAUUGUUCAAGACUAGGGUUUCUAACAUCGUCAAUUUCUUAGAGUAUUCUAUUUUUACCUAGAAUAUGUGUAACCAUAAAAGUAUGAAAAAAAUGUACUGUUGAGUACUUCAUGUGGUUAGGAGCAGGGUUGGACGAUGUAGUCGCGGUCUUUUUCUUUCUGAUGCUUCAUAAUUUAGCGCCCGUCUUAGGGAUACAUUAAUUGCUUCUGUUUGCUGGUGCUUACAGGAUUCGCUAUCUUCUUAUCGCAAGAAUGUUACGUUUCAUAAGACUCUUGAUGCACAUUGAGCGAUUUCGUUCUUUUGUUACCACAUUUUUGACCCUCAUACAUUGUCUGCUGCCAUACUUGGGGACCAUAUUCUGUAUCUUAUGCAUAUACUGCUCUCUUGGUUUACAGUUCUUUGGGGGAUUGUCAACACUGGAAACCCCAAGUUACACCAGACUGAUCUUGUUGGUUAUGACUAUUUGCUUUUUAACUUCAAUGACUAUCCAAAUGGCAUGGUGACACUUUUCAAUUUAUUGGUGAUGGGAAUCUGGUCACCGUUGAUGCAGAGCUACAAGGAUGAAGGAACUGACAGGGACUUCCUGGACUUAUGUCUACUUCUUCAGCUUCUAUCUUAUUGCCGUUUUGUGGCUAUUAAAUUUGAUUGUAGUAUUUGUCUUUGGAAGCUUUUCAAACAGAAAUGAAUCUAGAGGCUUCAACAAGAAUUGUGGAUGGUGAGGACAAGGAAGAAAGAAGAGGGCAGCGACGUCCUGUUGGUGCUAAGACUCGGAGACACAAAUUAGAUGAUCUUCACCGUCGCAUGUCUUGGUCUGAACGAACACAGCGCUCCAAUUCACAAGUUUGUCCAUUUUCCAGGCUGCUUUAUACAAUACUGGGAGCUUCAGAAGCUGAGUAAUUUUGGACCUGGUGGUGGAUAAAAAUCACAGUCAAGCGAUCUCUGUGUGUAAAGUUGUGAAUUGUGGAGUUUCAUCCGAGCAAAUUGCAGCAUUUUCACUUCUCCAUGCAAAUAUGUAGCGGUUUGUUGAGUGCUGUUAUUAUUAUAAAUACCGUGCAUUGCUAGCUGCAGUUUUGUUCUCUGUAUAUCAAACGUUCGAGUUGAAAUAUGAUGAAUUUCAGCACUUUUGCUCAUCUCCUGGUUAUGAUUGUUAACCCUGGUGGUAAAAGCAAUAUGUGGAUAAUAAAGUCUAAUCUUCGAGAGCAAUAUUGGCAAGGCAUUCGAAUCCUUUAUAGCUGCUUAAAAGAAUCCUGUCAACGUCUGAGGUUGUGCAAGAAAAAUGAGUAUUUAAUCUUUUCUCUCAAGUUCAUCAUUCCAUUAACAUACGCCCCAUUGGUCAUGAAGUUCACUAUAUAUUCUUUAUAUUUAAUGUAUGAACUUUGAGUUGUA
Molecule: non-coding RNA, 3418 nt
Organism: Nicotiana tabacum (common tobacco)
Lineage: Eukaryota; Viridiplantae; Streptophyta; Magnoliopsida; Solanales; Solanaceae
Source: RefSeq, a predicted model, not a curated record